UAAUAUCUGUACCAAUAAAACAGCUAUUAUAGGUAGUUAAUACCUGAAAUUUGAAUAUCAAAAUUGCUAUCGCUAUUUUUCAAAAUUAAUAGGAAAAUAUAAAUAAAAUAAAAUCCAGAUUUUCAAUAUUUCAUUGUUACCGCCAGCCAUACGCGCAGACGCGAGCAAAAGGUAUAUUCUAACCUCAAAUUUUGUCAAAAAAUAAAUAAUGAAGUGAUCUCAAACAUUUAGCCGAGUAUCAGUACUUAAACAGUUAAUACAUUAUUUGUAGAAUAUCAAUCAAAUUUACAUCAAUAACUUUAAGAUUGGCGGCGUACAUAAAAGGUACCAUCACCAUUUUUACAAUUACUUCAGACCAGAGCUUCAGACUUUAGCUAUUGUGUAAUUCUUCCCCUAAUGUUGAAAGAAAACUGUUUUUACGAUCUACAUGGUAUAUUUGAGCUCUAGUUAUUAUUAGCAGGUUUUAGAUAUUAACCGUAACAUAUAUUAUAGCUUUACUGUAAAUACUGAGCGUAGACAGCGAAGCAUUUCACUCUAGAAGUUGGAAAAUCAAUCAAAAGUGUGCAAUCAAAUUUGUUCUGAUAAGUUUGAUAAGAGCAAUAUUAUGAUCACCGAAUAAACUGGUUGCAAAUAAGACCAAAUGCUGAGCCUCAAAUAGAUACUACCAUUUUUGCUGGGGCCUUAUCAUGCAGCAUAGUAAGAUAAUUCUCAUUUUCUGAUCUUUCAAUAGUUGGAUAUUUAUUGGCUCAAGAAGUCCUAUCAGAAAAAGAAAGAAGUAUGUUAAUGAGGUAUAAUAAUGAUAUUAUGUAGAAAUUUAAGUCUCAUAAAAAUUUGGGAACAAAGAAAAUGAAAAAUACAUACUUUACAAAUGGGUCUAAGAAGAUUGAAAAAUAAAAUAACAUCAAUGCAUCAAUUAAUUGAUUACUUAAAAGAAAAAUCUUUGAUAAAUGAAUCAUCUGAAUUGACCAUAAAGGUAUAAAUAUAGUCUCAAAACAAUACUGAUGGUUACAAAGAAACUGAAGAAAAGGGAAGAUAGUAAUUUACUAGACAAAAGGCUGUUCUUUUGUAAUAUGGAGAUGGACAAAAUUCAAAGUAGUAGUAUUCAAAACAGAGAAGAACAUAAGCUAAAGAAAAAAAGGGUUGCUUGUAGACAUUGAAAUAAAAAGAACAGUGAAGUUCUUAAAGAGAACUUAUUUAAUAAUUUUAAUUAUUGUUUAUAUUGUAAUGUAAAAACUGUAAUGUAUGUUAUUUCUGAAUAAAAGACAUUUAAUAAUGAUA
Long non-coding RNA from Sitophilus oryzae (rice weevil), 1278 nucleotides. RefSeq lists it as uncharacterized. Lineage: Eukaryota; Metazoa; Arthropoda; Insecta; Coleoptera; Curculionidae. The record is from RefSeq and is a predicted model, not a curated record. The transcript has 5 exons.